CCUACGGGUGGCAGCAGUGGGGAAUAUUGCGCAAUGGGCGAAAGCCUGACGCAGCGACGCCGCGUGAGGGAUGAAGGUCUUCGGAGCGUAAACCUCUGUCAGCAGGGAAGACCGGGCACUGUGCUAAUCAGCAGGGAAUUGACGGUACCUGCAAAGGAAGCACCGGCUAACUCCGUGGCAGCAGCCGCGGUAAUACGGAGGGUGCGAGCGGUAAUGGGAAUUACUGGGCGUAAAGCGCACGUAGGCGGUAUGUCAAGCCAAGGGGGAAAUCGCCGGGCUACACGUGGGAACUGCCUUUGAAACUGGCGAACUGGAGGGGGUGAGAGGGAAGGGGAAUUCCAGGGGUAGGAGUGAAAUCCGGAGAUAUCUGGAGGAACAUCAGUGGCGAAGGCGACUAUCUGGCACAUAACUGACGCUGAGGAGCGAAAGCGUGGGUAGCAAACAGGAUUAGAUACCCCAGUAGUC
RNAcentral lists this ribosomal RNA (465 nucleotides) under uncultured bacterium. Its description in RNAcentral is "partial 16S ribosomal RNA". It matches the Rfam family "Bacterial small subunit ribosomal RNA", at positions 338 to 795 of the family's 1533-position model. The record is from RNAcentral.